This 644-nucleotide ribosomal RNA is filed under the name uncultured Dietzia sp. Its description in RNAcentral is "bacterial SSU rRNA". It matches the Rfam family "Bacterial small subunit ribosomal RNA", at positions 235 to 885 of the family's 1533-position model. The record is from RNAcentral. Lineage: Bacteria; Bacillati; Actinomycetota; Actinomycetes; Mycobacteriales; Dietziaceae.
GGCCUAUCAGCUUGUUGGUGGGGUGAUGGCCUACCAAGGCGACGACGGGUAGCCGGCCUGAGAGGGUGAUCGGCCACAUUGGGACUGAGAUACGGCCCAGACCUCCUACGGGAGGCAGCAGUGGGGGAAUAUUUGCACAAUGGGCGGAAGCCUGAUGCAGCGACGCCGCGUGAGGGAUGACGGCCUUCGGGUUGUAAACCUCUUUCAGCAGGGACGAAGCGUAAGUGACGGUACUUGCAGAAGAAGCACCGGCUAAUUACGUGCCAGCAGCCGCGGUAAUACGUAGGGUGCGAGCGUUGUCCGGAAUUACUGGGCGUAAAGAGCUCGUAGGCGGUUUGUCACGUCGUCUGUGAAAUCCUAGGGCUUAACCCUGGACGUGCAGGCGAUACGGGCUGACUUGAGUACUACAGGGGAGACUGGAAUUUCUGGUGUAGCGGUGGAACGCACAGAUAUCAGGAAGAACACCGAUGGCGAAGACAGGUCUCUGGGUAGUAACUGACGCUGAGGAGCGAAAGCAUGGGUAGCGAACAGGAUUAGAUACCCUGGUAGUCCAUGCCGUAAACGGUGGGCGCUAGGUGUGGGGUUCCUUACCACGGGCUCCGCGCCGUAGCUAACGCAUUAAGCGCCCCGCCUGGGGAGUACGG